AUCAGGUCGGUGGCGCUCGGAAAAGGCUGGAUUGGCCAAUGGACGACUUUGUUAAGCUGGCGAUAAUCAGUCACCAGCCUCACUUUGUUCGUCCUCGGCUUAGGCACAAAAUUUGCCGGGCUGAUCCAGUCCGUGGGACCGUGGUAGCGCUCCAUGACUCGCGCCUCUUCCAGCUCGCGCAUCAAAGCCGCAGAAGGAGUCUGGUGGUGGACGGGUAUCUGGCGAGCAGUCGUAACGUGGCAAGGCUUGAUGUUUUUCAAUUUUUCGGGGUCUAUUUCGAUCUUUGUCUUCUUGAACUUAUAAUACAUCCGUCGAGGUCUUUGCUCACUCCACGGACCAGAACGUCUACAAAUUCGGCCUUCACCUCGGCCAGAAGGCGGCCCAUGUACUUCGCAUUGGCUUCGCCUGGUCAGCGAGUGUAAUCACAACCGUCGCCGUUGAAGUCUUGGACGCAAAUCUUCCAUGUGCCCACAAGUAAGGCGUCGCCAUCGUUGUAAUUUGGCAUACAGCGUUCAUUUCUAGACAUACAGUAAGCAUCUGAGGCCCAUUCUGCAUUCACCUCAGUGCAUUCCUGAAUAUCCGUAGUGGCAACAGUCAUCUCUUCCCCGAUUUGAAUGUGGACGUAAUUCACACAAGGACUGACUCAGAUUCUGGAGGACUCAGCAAUUCUGGAUUGAUUCGUGGAAAGUUCUGUGGUAAGAUGCCAAGCGCAACAAUCCCUCCAUCUAAUGAGUGGGAGGCCCGUCAAAUCUGCCCAACAAAUGACCCUGAUCUCGACCUUGCGCCCCACGAGACCACUGGACUCUCAUACCCAGAGAGAGAAGGAGAUGAUGAAAACCGCCUAGAAGAAAGGAGAGAGGGAAAACUGACAAGACAGCCCCAGAAUCCGACACCACCCAGACGGUCAAUGUCUUGAGCUUGAGGAAAUAAAAGUACAGUCGUCCUUGGCAUCUUCUGAAGACCCGGGUUGAUCACGCAAAUUUGUGCCUUCUCUUUGCUGACCUCUGCAAUUAGCAACUGGACCGCGUUGAUUGCUGCUGCGUUGGCGCCGAUUCCGUAGUUUCCUCGAGCUCAACCCGCCAUUGACGUCCUUGGUCGCGACAUGUAGCGUGUCCAUGACCAUGGCUGGGCGUAGCCCGGCAAUAUCUCGCAAAAUGGCCGGUUCUCUUGCAGUUUUGCAGAUGAUAGUUCAUGACCCACAGACUGAUGGUGAGUGCUGUUUGCCCCCACAAUUCGGACACUUCAUUGCAGCUACCGCAUUGAGCGCUGCAUCUGACUCAAAAUCCAUCUCCUCUGUGACAGCGAGUGUUGCAGCCAGAGUCGUCGUCGCCUGCAAGGAAUAAGCGACCUCAAAAGCUGCGGCUGCAUCCAGGAAAUCUUGCAGUGAAGGGUUCUUGAGUUUCAGGAAGUUGCAUUGUAACAACGGCCUCGCCGAGGCCAUGCUGAGGAGGCAAAAUAUCAUCCAAUCAUCUUUCGUCAUGUACUUGAUUUCAGCCUCCAAACUAUGCGUCUUCAGAGCAUUGUAGGCUUCUGGAAAAGUUUGUCCGUGUGACAUGGACGCCUUGAACCAUGACCAUCUGUGUUGGAAGGUCAAUACGCCUCAAGAAACCUGGCUUUCAAUAUCUCAUAGCAUUUGUGCAUCAUGGACGUGGAUGUAGUGCCAGCGGCAACGAAAUUGGCAAGACCCAUGUACAGUCCCGCGAGAAGGUAUGAGUGUUGCUCCGAAGAGUGUCUGUCUGUAUUGGAAGCCAAAUGACAAGAAUUGAAUUUCCGCAGCUACGCAGUGAACUCCUGUUGCGAGAAGGUGACGCCAAGAUCAACCGGCUUGAGGCCCAUCUGUUCCUAGAACAUGGCUCUUGGUGUUGUGGUUGAGACAUUCGUGGUUGGGGUCAGGGUUUCAUCGCCACCCCACGCACUUGUUGUUGCGCAAGCUCCAUCUCAUCAUCAAUGGCUUUGAUCUCUGCCACAGUCUUGGCGCUGGAGUCAGCUCGGCCAAGAUCCUUAAGAUGCUCAUCGCCCUCUUGGAUUGCGGCCAAAACCGAGCUAACCGUGUCCCGAAAAGCAACGUCAUCCACUGUGGACGCAUCCCUGUUGGCAGUCUCCAGCACGGACUUGACGUCCCGAAACACUGCUUUUUGACCUACCACAAGUUUUUUAUGGUCGGUGCUGAGGGAGGUGCCAUGGUGGCCUUGACGUCCCAGUCCUGACCAAAAGUGUCUACUGAGGGAGAUAAUGAUCUCAACUUUCCAAUGACAGUGAAAGGCUCCGUCCAAGAAAGAAACCAAAAAGUAACCCAGAAUAGUGCAGUGUGGCGAGUGUCUAUCUGAGGUCAAAUCCCGGAGCUAGAGGCUCUGUAAACCCGUUGGGCGCAGUCUGUCAACGGGACGAUGACUGCGCCAUGCAAGGAUGGAAACAGACGAAGCGGAAAUGCGGGGAAAGAAUGGGAACAAUCCAUUAGGAAAUGGUGGUAAAUCAUCCCAUCGCAGUCAAAGAAAACAAUAAGCAUCCGUUUCUUCUCGCGGUUCAAGUUGAAUGCCUUUGUCGGACCUUUUGCUCCAACCUUGGACCAUCGCUUGCUUUGGUUCUUCAUCUCAGGAGUUGAAAAUGAGAUCCACGAUUCAUCCGUUGUGACAAUUUUUCGCAAAACUGAACUUCUCUCUUGGAAAACCAGCUUCUUGUAUUCAUGCGCCAUCGUCAGAUGUCCCUUCUUGUGAUCGUCUGACAAUAGGCACGGGACCCAAAGAGCAGCCUUUUUCUUAAGAUGAAGGUCUUCAUGAAUGAUCCUUUCGAUCGUAGGAGCAUUUGCUAACAAUACAAGCAAUAAUAUAACCCCUAAUGAAUUCAUAAAACAAAUGGAAAUGUGUUGCUUGUAUUUUUAUUUAAAAUUGUCCGUUUGCUUUCAGGUAAUGAUCCAGGUACGUUAACACCAACACUAAUAUCUAACUCUAAACUGUCAAAAACUCUACUGAAAUUGCAAAUGACUUUUUCAGCAGUAUCCUUUCUUGAGAGAGGGGUCAAACGUCUACGUAUAUUCGUAGUACAUGGUCCUUCUUGCAAUGCCUACCAGAGCCAAUGUCUCUUGUUGUUUACACUUUGACGGAGGGGGGGAUAGAGUAACAUCCCUACAUAAGGUAUAUAAAACUGCACAUUUGUCAUAAAUUUAUUUUCAGUAUGCACAAUGUUGUUUGCGUUAUGAAUACAAAUAGGGAUGAUAACUUUCUUUCUCUCUUUAUCGGAAAUUUGUGAGGGUUGCUCUAUCCGGUUCUCUUCCGGCGAUCUCUUUGCUCAAGCCCCAUUUAACCCGUUAAUGGGCGACCAUAAUUCGAUUUUUACAACCAUUGGUUGUACAGAUU
Tigriopus californicus is the source of this 3353-nucleotide long non-coding RNA. RefSeq lists it as uncharacterized. The transcript has 3 exons. NCBI's taxonomy places the organism in Eukaryota, Metazoa, Arthropoda, Copepoda, Harpacticoida, Harpacticidae. The record is from RefSeq and is a predicted model, not a curated record.